This 387-nucleotide ribosomal RNA is filed under the name uncultured euryarchaeote. Its description in RNAcentral is "bacterial SSU rRNA". It matches the Rfam family "Archaeal small subunit ribosomal RNA", at positions 339 to 727 of the family's 1478-position model. The record is from RNAcentral. Lineage: Archaea; Methanobacteriati; Methanobacteriota.
GCGCGAAAACUUUACAAUGCACGAAAGUGUGAUAGGGGGACUCAAAGUGCUUAUGCUUAGCAUAAGCUUUUGCCAAGUCGAAACUGCUUGGCGAAUAAGUGGUGGGCAAGACUGGUGCCAGCCGCCGCGGUAACACCAGCGCCACGAGUGGGAAUCGCUAUUAUUGGGCCUAAAGCGUCCGUAGCACGCUUAUUAAAUUACUUGUGAAAUCGCGCCACUUAAUGGUGCGGAUGGCAGGUAAGACUGGUAAGCUAGAGACCGGGAGACGUUGGAGGUAUUCAAAGGGGAGCGGUAAAAUGCGAGAAUCCUUUGAAGACCACCUGUUGCGAAGGCGUCCAACAAUAACGGGUCUGACUGUGAGGGACGAAAGCUAGGGGAGCGAACCGG